This 503-nucleotide ribosomal RNA is filed under the name uncultured bacterium. RNAcentral's name for it is "partial 16S ribosomal RNA". It matches the Rfam family "Bacterial small subunit ribosomal RNA", at positions 30 to 523 of the family's 1533-position model. The record is from RNAcentral.
AUUGAACGCUGGCGGCAGGCUUAACACAUGCAAGUCGAGCGGGGUGAUGGUGCUUGCACUAUCACUUAGCGGCGGACGGGUGAGUAAUGCUUAGGAAUCUGCCUAUUAGUGGGGGACAACAUCUCGAAAGGGAUGCUAAUACCGCAUACGUCCUACGGGAGAAAGCAGGGGAUCACUUGUGACCUUGCGCUAAUAGAUGAGCCUAAGUCGGAUUAGCUAGUUGGUGGGGUAAAGGCCUACCAAGGCGACGAUCUGUAGCGGGGCUGAGAGGAUGAUCCGCCAGACUGGGACUGGGACACGGCCCAGAAUCCUACGGGAGGCAGCAGUGGGGAAUAUUGGCCAAUGGGGAGAACCCUGAUCCAGCCAGGCCGCGUGUGUGAAGAAGGCCUUAUGGUUGUAAAGCACUUUAAGCGAGGAGGAGGCUCUUUUGGUUAAUACCCAAGAUGAGUGGACGUUACUCGCAGAAUAAGCACCGGCUAACUCUGUGCCAGCCGCCGCCGUAA